CAAACCUGUUGCCUUUACCACUAGACCAUUUGCUCGUUGUUUGAAGCAUAACGCAACUUAUUCAUCUUGUUUUUUCUCUAGCUUGUAGUAUUAAAAUUCAACCAUUUUUGAAUCACAAAAUGGCGUCGGUAGGAUUUGAACCACAAUGUUACAUUACACAACAUGGAGUCUUUACCACUAUACCACUUGCUCGUUGUUGGAAGCCUAACGCAACAUAUCCACUUUAACCUUUUUUCGCUAGCUUGUGUAAUUAAUAAUCUACGCAUUUCAAGUCAGAAAAUGAUAUAUGUACGACUUGAACCACAAUUGUACAGAACACAACGUCGUCCUUUCCGCUAAAAAAUCUGCUAAAAAUGGACUAAAAGUUAAGGCUACAUAUAGCCUUACUUUUUUUGCCAUUUUUUGCCUCUUUUUC
This is a non-coding RNA of Paramuricea clavata, 415 nucleotides long. NCBI's taxonomy places the organism in Eukaryota, Metazoa, Cnidaria, Anthozoa, Malacalcyonacea, Plexauridae. The record is from the annotation of a GenBank genome assembly.